GACAGAGGUGGCAAGCGUUGUUCGGAAUCACUGGGCUUAAAGGGCGAGUAGGCGGUGGAGCAAGUCUGAGGUGGAAUCCUAUGGCUUAACCAUAGAAUUGCCUUAGAAACUGUUUCACUUGAGUCAGUGAGGGGAGGGCGGAAUUCCUGGUGUAGCGGUGAAAUGCGUAGAUAUCAGGAGGAAGGCCUGUGGCGAAGGCGGCCCUCUGGCACUGUACUGACGCUGAGGCGCGAAAGCGUGGGGAG
This 245-nucleotide ribosomal RNA is filed under the name uncultured bacterium. RNAcentral's name for it is "partial 16S ribosomal RNA". It matches the Rfam family "Bacterial small subunit ribosomal RNA", at positions 524 to 768 of the family's 1533-position model. The record is from RNAcentral.